Molecule: ribosomal RNA, 1635 nt
Filed under: Staphylococcus aureus
Lineage: Bacteria; Bacillati; Bacillota; Bacilli; Caryophanales; Staphylococcaceae
Description: partial 23S ribosomal RNA
Rfam family: Bacterial large subunit ribosomal RNA
Source: RNAcentral
UGAAACCGUGUGCUUACAAGUAGUCAGAGCCCGUUAAUGGGUGAUGGCGUGCCUUUUGUAGAAUGAACCGGCGAGUUACGAUUUGAUGCAAGGUUAAGCAGUAAAUGUGGAGCCGUAGCGAAAGCGAGUCUGAAUAGGGCGUUUAGUAUUUGGUCGUAGACCCGAAACCAGGUGAUCUACCCUUGGUCAGGUUGAAGUUCAGGUAACACUGAAUGGAGGACCGAACCGACUUACGUUGAAAAGUGAGCGGAUGAACUGAGGGUAGCGGAGAAAUUCCAAUCGAACCUGGAGAUAGCUGGUUCUCUCCGAAAUAGCUUUAGGGCUAGCCUCAAGUGAUGAUUAUUGGAGGUAGAGCACUGUUUGGACGAGGGGCCCCUCUCGGGUUACCGAAUUCAGACAAACUCCGAAUGCCAAUUAAUUUAACUUGGGAGUCAGAACAUGGGUGAUAAGGUCCGUGUUCGAAAGGGAAACAGCCCAGACCACCAGCUAAGGUCCCAAAAUAUAUGUUAAGUGGAAAAGGAUGUGGCGUUGCCCAGACAACUAGGAUGUUGGCUUAGAAGCAGCCAUCAUUUAAAGAGUGCGUAAUAGCUCACUAGUCGAGUGACACUGCGCCGAAAAUGUACCGGGGCUAAACAUAUUACCGAAGCUGUGGAUUGUCCUUUGGACAAUGGUAGGAGAGCGUUCUAAGGGCGUUGAAGCAUGAUCGUAAGGACAUGUGGAGCGCUUAGAAGUGAGAAUGCCGGUGUGAGUAGCGAAAGACGGGUGAGAAUCCCGUCCACCGAUUGACUAAGGUUUCCAGAGGAAGGCUCGUCCGCUCUGGGUUAGUCGGGUCCUAAGCUGAGGCCGACAGGCGUAGGCGAUGGAUAACAGGUUGAUAUUCCUGUACCACCUAUAAUCGUUUUAAUCGAUGGGGGGACGCAGUAGGAUAGGCGAAGCGUGCGAUUGGAUUGCACGUCUAAGCAGUAAGGCUGAGUAUUAGGCAAAUCCGGUACUCGUUAAGGCUGAGCUGUGAUGGGGAGAAGACAUUGUGUCUUCGAGUCGUUGAUUUCACACUGCCGAGAAAAGCCUCUAGAUAGAAAAUAGGUGCCCGUACCGCAAACCGACACAGGUAGUCAAGAUGAGAAUUCUAAGGUGAGCGAGCGAACUCUCGUUAAGGAACUCGGCAAAAUGACCCCGUAACUUCGGGAGAAGGGGUGCUCUUUAGGGUUAACGCCCAGAAGAGCCGCAGUGAAUAGGCCCAAGCGACUGUUUAUCAAAAACACAGGUCUCUGCUAAACCGUAAGGUGAUGUAUAGGGGCUGACGCCUGCCCGGUGCUGGAAGGUUAAGAGGAGUGGUUAGCUUCUGCGAAGCUACGAAUCGAAGCCCCAGUAAACGGCGGCCGUAACUAUAACGGUCCUAAGGUAGCGAAAUUCCUUGUCGGGUAAGUUCCGACCCGCACGAAAGGCGUAACGAUUUGGGCACUGUCUCAACGAGAGACUCGGUGAAAUCAUAGUACCUGUGAAGAUGCAGGUUACCCGCGACAGGACGGAAAGACCCCGUGGAGCUUUACUGUAGCCUGAUAUUGAAAUUCGGCACAGCUUGUACAGGAUAGGUAGGAGCCUUUGAAACGUGAGCGCUAGCUUACGUGGAGGCGC